Lynx canadensis (Canada lynx) is the source of this 932-nucleotide long non-coding RNA. RefSeq lists it as uncharacterized. NCBI's taxonomy places the organism in Eukaryota, Metazoa, Chordata, Mammalia, Carnivora, Felidae. The record is from RefSeq and is a predicted model, not a curated record. The transcript is spliced from 3 exons.
ACGCCCCGGCGCGCGUCGUGGCUUGAAUUCUGGCGCCCGAGGCUUGGACGGCGGUGGCGGUCGGAGGAGCUGCUGAGCGCCGCUGGGCCCUGGACUCUCUGUACCUUCUGGCUUUCGGAUUUCGAGUCGUAGAUUUGCGUUGCUGUGGUUGUGAUGUACUUAACGGAAGUAAAGUUCCAGAACACUGCCUGAUGUAAGGCGAGCUCCGAGGAAGUUCUUCUGUUUCUCAUCGUCUAAGGAGAGGCUCCAUCCUGGCCAGGUACCAUUAGUAACCCCAUAGAUGUUACAACCAAAGAUGUCUCCACACAUUGCCAAGUGUCACCUGUGUGAGGUCAAGCCCCGCGUUGGGCUCCAUCCUUGGCAUGAAGGCUACUUAAGUUAAAAAAGAAAAAAAGAAAAAGCUAAUCAAAGGAAGGUAUGAGACGAAAAGUUUAAAAAUCUCUCAGGAUGUAGAACAAAAUGACAACAAAAUGGAAAGUAUGAAAGAAAAGUUAAGAGAUGGAGGGCCAAUGUAUUCCAUAUUAAUCUAACAGAAGUUCCAGAGAGCACCAAGAAAAUGGAGGAGAGGAGAUAAUCAAAGAUUCUAUUUGACUGAGAAAAAAACAUUUCAAGCAGAGAAAACAGGUCUAUAAAGUGGCUCUCACCUGGCUGCACCCUGGAUCACCUGAGAGCUCUUAGAAACACACACACCAAGAUCCCUGCUUCUCCUCAAGGUGGAGUCACAGGGACCAGUUUUACCUUCCCGCCAGAAACCACCACCACCACCACUGCAACAAAACCAGACAAAACACACGAUACAAUGGUUUUCAAAACAGUGGACACCAAGCAAUGAAAGGCAGUAACACGGCUCGCAAUCCCAGAGAGAAAGGAAAACAAGUGAGAUUUGUCCUUUGAGGACACCAGGGCGAGAGCCAUCUCUGCAGGCGGCUGUG